This 119-nucleotide ribosomal RNA is filed under the name Lepisosteus oculatus (spotted gar). The record is from RNAcentral. Lineage: Eukaryota; Metazoa; Chordata; Actinopteri; Semionotiformes; Lepisosteidae.
GCCAGCAGCCAUAUCAUCCUGCAACUCAUAAGUGAAAACCCGCUGAUGCUAAGCAGGCAUGAUCCGGGUCAGUACCUGGAAUGGGAGGCCUCAUGGAAAAGCUAAGGUUGCUGCUGGAA